UGGGGAAUAUUGCACAAUGGAGGGAACUCUGAUGCAGCGACGCCGCGUGAGUGAUGAAGGCAUUCGUUUCGUAAAACUCUUUUUUAUGGGGAGAAAAGGACUGUACCAUAGGAGAAAGCUCCGGCUAAAUACGUGCCAGCAGCCGCGGUAAUACGUAUGGAGCGAGCGGUGUCCGGAAUUAUUGGGCGUAAAGGGUGCGCAGGCGGCUUUACAAGUUGGUUGUGAAAUAUUGUGGCUCAACCACAAACGUGCAUCCAAAACUGCAAAGCUUGAGUUAAGGAGUGGUAAGUGGAAUUCAUGGUGUAGCGGUGUAAUGCGUAGAUAUCUGGAGGAAUACCGGUGGCGAAGGCUACUUACUGGUCUUAAACUGACGCUCAGGCACGAAAGCGUGGGGAGCAAACAGG
Molecule: ribosomal RNA, 404 nt
Filed under: Fusobacteriota bacterium
Lineage: Bacteria; Fusobacteriati; Fusobacteriota
Description: Fusobacteria bacterium partial 16S ribosomal RNA
Rfam family: Bacterial small subunit ribosomal RNA
Source: RNAcentral